Molecule: long non-coding RNA, 6739 nt
Filed under: Lactuca sativa (garden lettuce)
Lineage: Eukaryota; Viridiplantae; Streptophyta; Magnoliopsida; Asterales; Asteraceae
Description: long non-coding RNA (LSAT_LNC009609)
Source: RNAcentral
AUUACCCCAAAACCCAUUAUUUUAUUUAUUUCUUAAGGGUUUACCCUAAGAAUCAACUAUCCCUCCUUCCUAAGGAUUCAUCCUAAGGAAUAGACACAAAGUCACCUCGUGACCGGGGUUUAUACAACGGGCACUAAUUCCAUAGCUGCCAAAGUUUAUUCAACAUGUGCUAAGUCCAUAGCUCUCAUUUAUCGACAGUAUUAUUUACAGGUGUUCUCUCCUGCAAUACAUGUCAAUGGGUUUUAGAGUACAACAAAUGAACAUAUAGUUCAUUACACCUACAGGUUGCGGGCCUGCUAGUGUUCCAUAGACUGUCUAGAAUAGUCCAUGGUUGUCAUCCAUACUCUGCUGAAUGACGGGGGCCAACAAUUUGGGUAAGUGAUUCUCUCAAAUUUUCACCACUCACCCUCAACUCAUGAUCAAUAUUAUUGAUCAUCUCCUUUAUCCAACUCACCUUUCAUCAUACCCACUAUUUCAUCUACCCANUUAAACAAUUAAAAUAUUUACACAUAACACGUAUUUCAAGGUAAAUACAUCAUAUCUAUGUGUAAAUUGAUAGUAACUACACACUCACUUGAUUUAAUGCAAACCGGGCAGCAAUUCGUUUCCUAAAACGAUCGUUUUUAAUAAAACCGGGAGUUUUACUAAGAAAAAUUCUGAGUAUGCUGAAAUUGGUGGUUUUGAUGUUAGACUGAGCACACAGUCAAGGUUUGAUAACAAGAUUAUAAAGAAGAAACGUGUUAUAUGUAAUCGUGGUGGUAAACAAAAAAAAGAAAUCUUGUGACACAUUAGGUACAAGUGGUGUUAGGAGGAAACGAAAUUCAAAUUCAAGAGCUAUUGGUUGUCAAGCAAAGAUUAUAUUUGAAUCUGUGUAUGGAAGUCCAGAUUANGGAACCACAUGUUGCAGAUCCGAGGGCUCGCAGGGGAAGGCUUGCACGAGGGCUGCACGUGUGAAGGCUUGUUGGCUUCCUUUGAUUGGACCGAUGUCUACUGGUCCGAAGUCGGCUUGGUGGUGGCGUCCGCAGGCGAGGGUGCGCAGGUGCGAGGGACUCGGUGGCAGCCUCUGAUNGGACUCGUGACCCAUUUGCGAGGCUCAGACACGAGGAUAGUACAUAUGUCGGACUGCUAGUGGACCGCGAUUACUGUUCAUGCGAUGGUGACUCAGCAGAUUUCGCCACGUGGCAUAUGCGAGGCGAGGACAUGUGGCAAAAGUGUGACUAUGCGAAUUUUCUCGAUUUUUCGCGCCAAAACUUCUAAAAUUCAUAACUUUCGCAUACGAGCUCCGUUUUUGACGUUCUUUAUAUGCACGCAUAGCUAAAAUUACGCUCUACAACUUCCGUUUAGACUUCAUCGGCUAAUUUUGAAUUUAAAUUUUAUAUUAUUAUUUUUAGCAGACCGGGACAGGAAAUCAGUUAAAAAUUCAUAACUUCUUCAUCCGACGUCCGUUUUCGUCAGACAUUUUACCGUUGUGCUCCUAAUGACGAGACCUUCAAUUCUCAUUUAGGUUAUGUCGGCUAAAAACCGCUCGAUCUAGAAUUCGAGUUUUUAGUUGUCUACUGCUAAGCUGAAACUUCGAAAAAUCAUAACUUCCUCAUACGAAGUCAGAUUUGGGCGUUCUUUUUAUCGAACUUCUCGGUUUAACGAAUACUAUGACUUUCGUUUAGAUCACUAAGGCUAAAAAGUACUUUAUCGAAAAAUCACUUUUUACGACAUUCAGCAUCGUGCUGGUUUUGUCGCGAAACUUCGACAGGUCAUAACUUCUUCGUUAUAACUCGGAUUUCGGUAUUCUUUAUAUCCCCGAAAUCCUUGUUUCGACCACUACAACUUUAUGUAAAGAUAUCGGCUUUAUCUAAUAUUUAUUUUUGACGCUCAUUUUUAUUCUUAAUUAAUUAAACCCUAAUAAUUAAGCAUAAAACACAUAAUUCACAUAAAAUUCACAUAAUUCCUUUUCAUUUCUUCUAAAUGAGUUACAAAGGUUAACCUAGACCAUUAUGUCAAUAUUAAUGCCUAGCCUAGAAACACGGGCGUUACAACUCUCUCCCCCUUAGGAUGAUUCCGUCCCCGGAAUCACACAACGACAAACAACUACGGGUAGCGACUCACUAUGUCACUCUCCGUUUCCCAGGUGGGAUUUGGCCUAUUUAUAUGUUUCCAACGUACAGGCACUAAAUCGACUAUCUUACGUUACAACUUCUUAGUCUUCUGGUUAACGAUUGCCUUAGGUUCUCCAAUUAACCUCUUGUUCUCGUCCAACCUUAAUUCAGAAAUGGGAAUUAUGUCGGGUACACCUCCCGUGAACUUUCUCAGAUAACACACAUGAAAGGUGUUAUGAAUACUCUCUAGUUCUUCCGGUAAUUCUAACUUGUAAGCUUGAUUCCGGAUUCUCUAAAGAACUUUAAAUGGUCCAAUAAACCUUGGACUCAACUUUCCCCUUCUACUAAAUCUUAUAAGUCCCUUCCACGACGAGACUUUAAGUGAAACCGAAUCUCCAACUUCGAAUGAUAUCGGUUGUCUUUUCUUGUCAGCAUAGCUCUUUCUAACAUCUUUUUCCUAGUCACUUACAACUUUUCAGCAAUCUAAUGGACUAUUUCAAGUCCCAUAAACUGCUUUUCCUCAGCUUCCAGCCAACAUGAUGGCAUUCGACACUUUUCCCAAUACAAAGCGUGAUAAGGUGCCAUCUUAAUGCUUGAGUGGAAAUUAUUAUUAUAGGAGAAUUCUACUAGACGUAAGUGUUCAUCCAAGUUACCUUGGAAUUCUAGGGUAUAUGCUCUCAGCAUAUCCUCCAAUGUUUGAAUCGUUCGUUCGCUCUGACCAUCGGUUUGCGGAUGGUAAGUUGUACUCAAACACAACUUAGUACCCAAUUCCUCUUGUAGACUCCUCCAAAACCUUGAGGUAAAACGGCUGUCACGAUCGGAUACAAUCGUCAACGAAACACCAUGAAGCCUCACACUUUCCUUCACAUAAGAAUUCGCAAGUUUAUCCAUAGACCAUUUCUCUUUGGCUGUAUGAAAUGUGCACUCUUAGUGAAGCGAUCAACGACCACCCAAAUCAGGUCGUGACCGUUCCUUGUUCCGGGUAGUUUAGUCACAGAAUCCAUAGUGAUACCUUCCCAUUUACCCAUGGGUACAGGUAAAGGAUCUAAAGUCUUAUAUAGUUUCUGAUGUUAUCCCUUAACCCUAGCAUAAGUUACACACUUAGCCACAUACUUUAGCAACUUCGAGCUUCAUCGUCGGCUACAAGUAAUAGGGUUUUAGAUCCCUAUACAUUUUCGUACUGCCGGGAUGAAUCGAGUACAUGGUCUUGUGAGCUUCUUCCAUCAGAAGACCUCUUAUUCCUCCCGUCUUAGGUACCCAAAUCCUAUCUUUGAAUACCUCCAUUCCUUGACCGUUUGUACCAAACACCAACGUUUUACUCAAACGUUCCUCCUUUCGGUCAUUUUUCUCUAAAGCUUCCUCUUGAGCUUUCUUUAUACUUUUCACAAUUGUCAAGACAACUUUAAUUCUUAACGCUCUUGGCCCUUUUCUUUUCAAGACUUACCUUCCGACUGAGAGUAUCAGUAACAACAUUUGCUUUACCAGGGAGGUAAAGUAUCUCAUAGUCGUAGUCCUUGAGUAAUACUAGCCAGCGUCGUUGUGUGAUGUUCAAUUCCUUCUGAUCAAAGAGAUAUUGGAGACUCUUAUGAUCAGUGAAAAGUUUACACUUUUUGCCAUAAAGAUAAUGCCUCCAUAUCUUUAGGGCGAAUACUACCGCUACCAACUGCAAAUUGUAAGUAGGGUAGUUCUUUUCAUGCUCUUUCAAUUGCCUCGAUGCAUACGCUAUCACCUUAUCCCUUUGGGUUAGAACACAUCCUAACCCAACUCUAGAGGCAUCACUAUAAACUGUGCAGUCAUCAACUCCUUUAGGUAUCGAAAGAAUCGGUGCUUAACACAACUUCUUCUUUGACUUCUUAAAGCUUCCUAUGCUUCUCCUUCCAAGUAGAGAUAGCUCCUUGGUGGGUCAAAGCUGUCAAUGGAGUCGCGAUCGAAGAAAAGCCUUGGAUAAUUCAGUAAUAAUAUCCAGCUAAUCCUAAAAAGCUUUAGAUCUUCAUAGGACCUUCAAUCGUAACCUUCGAGUUACAAAAUAAAUCCUUAUUGAGGACUCCUUCUUCUUCUUGGAAUAAGUACUUUCCUUCAUUUAUUGUAACAGACCGAUGGGUCAUGUUCUAAUGAUCUCUCAUUGUAUACUACACUACUUAGACUCAGAUCUCCUAGGGAUAAAUGUCAGAACAAAUUAUACCUUCCUUCAUGUCCUAAUGUGAUACAAUCACCGUUCAACAUGUAUCAUUUGUAACUACCAACUUCUUUAACGAUGAGUGCGAUACUUCAAUUGAUCGCUCUGAUCAUCUUUCAUUUCAAUCUUUUGGCUUAAGUCAAAUGUUACAUCGAACUUGGUUCUAUAAACCACAUAAUAAACUCAUCGUAGUCGGACUCAAUUUGAUAUGACCUCUAAGCUCGGAAUAACAAUCAUCUUCUUAGUCAUUACCGAAACGAUGACAGACUAGAACAAGACGGAAUCAAAUAAUAGCUUCUUGGUAACCUUGUGACUUUCCCUGAUCCAAGUGCGAGUCUUGUGCUUCCAGUAGUAUAGAUCUCUACUACUAUUCCCACCUACUCAUACUCGUCCCAAGUACUGUCUCGCAGUACCCAAGUCCUAAAAUCACAAAACAAUUUAACACAUACAAAUGUGUCCACUUAAUCAUAAAAUUUUCCUAGACUAUACUAGGACUUCUUUCACGCGUAUCUUCAAUGAUCAACUCUACUUCAACUCGGUUGGUGAUGGAAAUUCCAGAUGAUUCGGACAACUUCAAAAAUUACACCAGCCAUUCUAUUCAUCAGACGACAAAACCAGGAUUUAUUUUAUUUCCUUGAAACGAUUACACAAAGGUUCAAGUUUACCCUAUAUUAUGCCUCUCAUAGGCUAAACUACUUGUUACUAUUCACAUUACUACUUCUUAACUUGAUCUUCGGGUAUCAAGUCUUGACUUCUACUUCCUAGUGUUAUUAAUCGCUUCUUCAAAGAUAUCCUGAAAUUCCUUUGGCAUUGGUGGUGCACUUGGCCUUGUUACUUCAUUAUUCUUCAGACAAUUCUUAGAAAUAUGGUCUUCUUCUUUAGAUCCGUAGCACACCUCCUUGGGAAUCGUACACUUAUUGGCGUAAUGGCCUAUUUCUCCACACUUAAAGCACUUCACCUUUCCGCCACAAUUCCCAGAGUGUUUAUUUUUGCACUUCCCACACCAUUUUCCUUUAUCUCUUCUUUUUCCAAACUUUGAGGAUAUGUUGCUCUUGUUGGGCCUUGAAGACCCCUCAAAUUUCCUCUUCUUGCCAACUUCAACUUUGUUGGUGGUUGUGUCAUUGAUCAUUUCUCCAAUAGGCUUAGCAACCCUAAUAGGUGCCUCAAGAAUAUAUGUCUAACCUAUUGGCACAAUAAGUUCAUCCUUACUUUGUUGAAGUAAACGUUUUGUUUCUUCCAUCUGUUCACCUAACAUCGUACGUACCAUUGCCUACACUCCAGUCAUCGUGAUUGGCUCAGGCUAUGGAUUAUCACUUCCGAACCCACUUUGAGUACUUGCCAUUUCGAUCUAUACACCAAUCGUAGGUGAACUUAGAUCUUCAUUUUGUUAGAUGUUAAGUCUUCGAAACGUUUAUAUGUUAGUUCCAAUAUCGUAGUCAUACGUUUAGAAUCCUACACACAUAAGGUUUCCAGAUCCGGUCGGCAACAGACCAUAGAUCCGAACAAAUAAUAGCAUCAUUAUAGCUAUAACACAAAACAUUUAGCACAUAAGGGCAUUUUAGGCAUCUUCCCUAAAAUAAACUAGUGCUCGUGUCUAAAAUAUGGUAGACACUCAUCUCACAAUCAUCACUUAGCAUUCUAAGUUCAAGUCUAGAAAUUCUACAAUUUCUUAGUUCGCUUAAACUAAUGCUCUGAUACCAACUGUGACAUCCCCUAAUUUCUCGGCCAGAAAAGACCGAUUUAAUUUAUGCUUUUUAAAAUCAAAUCAGAGAAAUCUUUAUAAAAGAUGUUGCAGAAUUCGUCUCCAAAACAAAAUAUGAUAAAAAUUUGUCAAAACAUUUCUUUAAGAAAUAUAUAAUUUCCUUUUAUAUCAAAACCUCGAGAUGUCAUGUUCCGAUACAAAUCAAAAGCAUAAACAAGACAUUAUAAGCCUUACAACAGUUAUUUAUAACUAAUGGCCUACAAUCCAAAAUCAAUCAUCAUCAUCAUCCGACUAUGCUCGGGGUCCACUACCUGUAAUAUAAAAAGCUGAGUGGGCCAGGCUUGGAAGCCUGGUGAGCAUAUAGGAUUUUCAACCCACAAUAAAUAAUAAACUCUUUAAGUUUAUCAAUCAAUAAAUAAUUUAUUAAUUUCAUCCACCUAAAACAACCCUAUUUACCCAUACCCNAACUAUCCCUCCUUCCUAAGGAUUCAUCCUAAGGAAUAGACAAGAAGUCACCUCGUGACCAGGGUUUAUACAACGGGCACUAAUUCCAUAGCUGCCAAAGUUUAUCCAACAUGUGCUAAGUCCAUAGCUCUCAUUUAUCGACAAUAUUAUUUACAGGUGUUAUCUCCUCCAAUAUAUGUCAAUGGGUUUUAGAGUACAACAAAUGAACAUAUAGUUCAUUACACCUACAGGUUGCGGGCCUGCUAGUGUUCCAUAGACUGUCUAGAAUAGUCCAUGGUUGUCAUCCAUACUCUGCUGAAUGAC